RNAcentral lists this long non-coding RNA (265 nucleotides) under Zostera marina. RNAcentral describes it as "long non-coding RNA (ZMAR_LNC003058)". Lineage: Eukaryota; Viridiplantae; Streptophyta; Magnoliopsida; Alismatales; Zosteraceae. The record is from RNAcentral.
AUUCAUCUAAUUUGAAAUUACAAGUCCUAGCUAAUUUUUCUAAUAUAGUGUUAUUAACAUGACACAAUCUGCCAUGCCAUAGACCAUAUGUAUCUUUAACUACACUAGUAGAUGCUAGUAGACUAGAAGCAUAAAAUCCAGCAGCUUUGACUUGAAAACCCUGCCUUAGAUGAUAAAGACCCAGCACUACUGCCAUUCAGAAAAAUCUUCCCCGUCUUCUUGUCCUUAGCCAUAAAACCAAAUUCAUUCAAUAUAAAAUCACAAU